CAUCCACUUUACACAGCUCAGAUUUAACAACCUGCAGAAAAGCUUUGGAAUGGAUUGACAUGUUAUUAAUGAU
Molecule: non-coding RNA, 73 nt
Organism: Pangasianodon gigas (Mekong giant catfish)
Lineage: Eukaryota; Metazoa; Chordata; Actinopteri; Siluriformes; Pangasiidae
Source: the annotation of a GenBank genome assembly